CCUACACAAGCUCUCUUUCCUGUCACCACAUAAGAUGUUCCUUUACUCUUCCUUCGUCUUCUGCCAUGAUUGUGAGGCCUCCCCAGCCAUCUGGAAGAGAGGCAAAACUGGCCACUCAGAAGAACUAAGCUCCCAUGCUCUGUGGAACAUUUUCCCUGUGAAGAAUCUUGAUGCCCAUUAAGGGAGGGAGGGACAAGAAAUAGAGCUCUGCACCUCCCAACUUCAAAGGAUUGAGUUUUUGAGGCUGAGAAGUCCAAGAUCAAGAUGCAGCAUUCUCACAUGGCAGAAGACAAAAGAGCAAGAGAGAACCAACUCCCUCCAUCAAGCUCCUUUAUAAGGGAACCUAAUCCCAUUCACAACAGAGGAGCCCUCAUGGCCUAAUCACCUCUUAAAGUACCACUUCUUAAUACUAUCACACUGGCAAAACCUGAAUUUUGGAGAAGAUUCAUUUAAGUCAUAGCAUUCUAUCCCUGACACCCCAAAAUUCAUGUUCUUCUCAUAUACAAAAUACAUUCAUUUAAUCCCAAUAGCUCCCAAAAUUCUUAAUUCAUUCCAGCAUCAACU
This 564-nucleotide long non-coding RNA is filed under the name Homo sapiens (human). RNAcentral describes it as "HSALNT0072198". Lineage: Eukaryota; Metazoa; Chordata; Mammalia; Primates; Hominidae. The record is from RNAcentral.